CAACUCCACAAUGUCACAAUGCAUGCAGAUGUUGAAACAGACGAAGUAUAUGCACAAAUGACUUUGCAGCCCUUGACGCAGGAAGAACAAAA
Molecule: long non-coding RNA, 92 nt
Organism: Solanum tuberosum (potato)
Lineage: Eukaryota; Viridiplantae; Streptophyta; Magnoliopsida; Solanales; Solanaceae
Exons: 3
Source: RefSeq, a predicted model, not a curated record